GAUGAACGCUGGCGGCGUGCCUAAUACAUGCAAGUCGAGCGAACAGACGAGGAGCUUGCUCCUCUGACGUUAGCGGCGGACGGGUGAGUAACACGUGGAUAACCUACCUAUAAGACUGGGAUAACUUCGGGAAACCGGAGCUAAUACCGGAUAAUAUAUCGAACCGCAUGGUUCAAUAGUGAAAGACGGUUUUGCUGUCACUUAUAGAUGGAUCCGCGCCGCAUUAGCUAGUUGGUAAGGUAACGGCUUACCAAGGCAACGAUGCGUAGCCGACCUGAGAGGGUGAUCGGCCACACUGGAACUGAGACACGGUCCAGACUCCUACGGGAGGCAGCAGUAGGGAAUCUUCCGCAAUGGGCGAAAGCUUGACGGAGCAACGCCGCGCGAGUGAUGAAGGUCUUCGGAUCGUAAAACUCUGUUAUUAGGGAAGAACAAAUGUGUAAGUAACUAUGCACGUCUUGACGGUACCUAAUCAGAAAGCCACGGCUAACUACGUG
RNAcentral lists this ribosomal RNA (497 nucleotides) under uncultured bacterium. RNAcentral describes it as "partial 16S ribosomal RNA". It matches the Rfam family "Bacterial small subunit ribosomal RNA", at positions 28 to 507 of the family's 1533-position model. The record is from RNAcentral.